AGCAAGCUGAAGCUGAGCAGAAGCAGGCAGAAGAAAGAAGUAAACAGACUGCCUUUGUGACCUUGGGAAAGUCAGUGAGCCACAGUAUGUCUGCUGAAUUUAAGUAGAAAUGGACCAUGUUUUGGAAGAACCCUUGACUUCUAGAGGAAAAGCUGGAGGAUGAGCUGGCAGCCAUGCAGAAGAAGCUGAAAGGGACAGAGGAUGAGCUGGACAAGUAUUCUGAAGCUUUGAAGGAUGCCCAGGAGAAGCUGGAACUGGCAGAGAAGAAGGCUGCUGAUCUUUCCCAAGUCAGAAAGUACCCUCAGAGAUAUGCAUAAGAACAAGAAACAGGAGAGGGAAGGUUGUGGCCAGGAGCAAGCAAGAAGAAAGGUUUCUUUCCUCAAAGCUAGAGUCAGCAAACUACCACCUGUGGGUUAAAUCUUGCAACAGCCUGGUUUUGUAAAUAAAGUUUUAUCGGAACA
RNAcentral lists this small RNA (461 nucleotides) under Pan troglodytes (chimpanzee). Its description in RNAcentral is "processed transcript". Lineage: Eukaryota; Metazoa; Chordata; Mammalia; Primates; Hominidae. The record is from RNAcentral.